RNAcentral lists this transfer RNA (75 nucleotides) under Candidatus Omnitrophota bacterium. RNAcentral's name for it is "tRNA-Glu". It matches the Rfam family "tRNA". Rfam says of the family: Transfer RNA (tRNA) molecules are approximately 80 nucleotides in length. Their secondary structure includes four short double-helical elements and three loops (D, anti-codon, and T loops). Further hydrogen bonds mediate the characteristic L-shaped molecular structure. tRNAs have two regions of fundamental functional importance: the anti-codon, which is responsible for specific mRNA codon recognition, and the 3' end, to which the tRNAs corresponding amino acid is attached (by aminoacyl-tRNA synthetases). tRNAs cope with the degeneracy of the genetic code in two manners: having more than one tRNA (with a specific anti-codon) for a particular amino acid; and 'wobble' base-pairing, i.e. permitting non-standard base-pairing at the 3rd anti-codon position. The record is from RNAcentral. Lineage: Bacteria; Pseudomonadati; Candidatus Omnitrophota.
GGCCCCAUAGUCUAGCCUGGCCUAGGACGUUAGCUUCUCAAGCUGAAAGCACGGGUUCGAAUCCCGUUGGGGCUG